RNAcentral lists this ribosomal RNA (1481 nucleotides) under uncultured organism. RNAcentral's name for it is "partial small subunit ribosomal RNA". It matches the Rfam family "Bacterial small subunit ribosomal RNA". The record is from RNAcentral.
CUUAACACAUGCAAGUCGAACGGAAAGAGAGGAAAGAGCUUGCUCUUUAUUAAUUUCAGUGGCAAACGGGAGAGUAACACGUAAACAACCUGCCUUAAGGAUGGGGAUAACAGACGGAAACGACUGCUAAUACCGAAUACGUUCUAAACCUCGCAUGCUGCAGAGAAAAAAGGGUGGCCUCUACCAGAAAGCUAUCGCCUUAAGAGGGAUUUGCUACUGAUUAGGUAGUUGGUGAGGUAACGGCUCACCAAGCCGACGAUCAGAAACCAGUCUGAGACGAUGAGCGGCCACACUGGAACUGAGACUCGGACCAGACUCCUACGGGAGGAAUCAUGGGGGAAGCUUCCACACUGGACGAAAGUCUGACGGAGCAACGCCGCGUGAACUAAAAACGUCUUCGGAUUGUAAAGUUCUGUAAUUCGAGACGAACGGGUUUGUGGUGAAUAAUCAUAUACAUUGACGGUACCGAAAAAGCACGCCACGACUAACUACGUGCCAGCAGCCGCGGUAAUACGUAGGAGGCAAGCGUUGUCCGGAAUUAUUGGGCGUAAAGCGCGCGCAAGCCGCUUCUUAAGUCCAUCUUAGAAGCGUGUGACUCAACCCCAUGAGGGGAUGGAAACUGGUAAACUGGAGUAUCGCAGAGAAAAGUGGAAUUCCUACUGUAGCGUGGAUAUGCGUAGAGAUUAGAAAGAACACCGGUGGUGAAGGCGACGUUGUAGACGAUAUCUGACGUUGAGGCGCGUAAGCGUGGGGAGCAAGCAGGACUAGAUAGAUUGGUAGUCCUCGCCGUACACGAUGGAUACUAUGAGUAGGAGGUAUUGAGCCUUCCUGUGCGGGAGUGAAGGCAAUACGUAUAGCGUCUGGGAAGUGAGAUAGCAAGAUUACAAUUCAAAUGAAUUGACGGGGGGGCGCACAAGCGGUGGAGUAUGUGGUGUAAUUUGAUUCGACGCGAAGAGCAGUACCAAGCCUUGACAUUGCUCGCAAUCCAUAGAAAUAUGGAGUUAUUAUUCGGUAGAGGAGAAAACAGGUGGUGCACGGCGGUUGUCAGCUCGUGUUGUGAGAUAUUGGGUUAAGUCUCGCAACGAGCGCAACCCCUAUUUCCUGUUACCAGCACGUAAAGGUGGGGAAUCUGGAGAGAGCGCCGCGGACAACGUGGAGGAAGGCGGGGAGAGACGUCAAGUUAUCAUAUCCCCUUAUGGUUUGGGGUUCCCACGUAGUUCAAAGGGUGCCAACAAAGAGAAGCGAAAUCGCGAGAUGGAGCGGACCUCAUAAACGCACUCUCAGUUCAGAUUGCAGGCUGCAACUCGCCUGCAUGAAGUAGGAAUCGCUAGUAAUCGCGGGUCAGCAUAUCGCGGUGAAUACGUUCCCGGGCCUUGUACACACCGCCCGUCACACCAUGAGAGUUAGAGACACCCGAAGCCGGUGAGGUAACCGCAAGGGGCCAGCCGUCUAAGGUGGAGUUGAUGAUUGGAGUGAAGUCA